UACGUAGGGUGCAAGCGUUGUCCGGAAUUAUUGGGCGUAAAGAGCUCGUAGGCGGUUUGUCGCGUCGGCUGUGAAAACUCGGGGCUCAACCCCGAGCCUGCAGUCGAUACGGGCAGACUAGAGUGCUGUAGGGGAGACUGGAAUUCCUGGUGUAGCGGUGAAAUGCGCAGAUAUCAGGAGGAACACCGGUGGCGAAGGCGGGUCUCUGGGCAACUACUGACGCUGAGGAGCGAAAGCGUGGGGAGCGAACAGG
RNAcentral lists this ribosomal RNA (253 nucleotides) under uncultured bacterium. RNAcentral's name for it is "partial 16S ribosomal RNA". It matches the Rfam family "Bacterial small subunit ribosomal RNA", at positions 524 to 776 of the family's 1533-position model. The record is from RNAcentral.